This 782-nucleotide ribosomal RNA is filed under the name uncultured fungus. RNAcentral's name for it is "eukaryotic LSU rRNA". It matches the Rfam family "Eukaryotic large subunit ribosomal RNA", at positions 24 to 664 of the family's 3401-position model. The record is from RNAcentral. Lineage: Eukaryota; Fungi.
CCCGCUGAACUUAAGCAUAUCAGUAAGCGGAGGAAAAGAAACUAACGAGGAUUCCCGUAGUAACGGCGAGUGAACUGGGAAGAGUCCAGCGCUGAAUCGCGGUGCCUCUGGUGCCGUGAGGUGUAGCGUAUAGACGUCGAACUUGGGUUUGGCUGCCCGUUCAAGUUUCCCUUGACCGGGGCUCCAUAGAAGGUGCAAGACCUGUCCAACGGGUGGCUUUAGCCCAUUUUCGUGCGUCUUAGAGUCGGGUUGUUUGGGAUCGCAGCCCAAAGCAGGUGGUAAACUUCAUCUAAGACUGAAUAUGACUACGAGUCCGAUAGCGAACAAGUACCGUGAGGGAAAGUUGCAAAGCACUUUGAAGAGAGAGUUAAAGAGGACGUGAAACCGGUGAGGUGGAAACGGACAGAGCUGGCGUAUCUGGCCUGCAUUCAGCCUUGGGCUCUCUGACGUUGUGGUGGUGUUCUCCAGAUUGGGAUGUCGCCGUUUCUGUUGGAGAAUUCAUGGUGCAUUUGCAGGUGGAGUGCGCUGAGGCGCCUGAGGCAGCGGCAUGAGUUUGGCUCUGAGGCUAGCCUCGCAAGAGGUCUGGUACCCGUGCCGGAGGAGUGCUGUUUGCUUUGGGUGUGCAAUGGGCAAUGGAAUCGGGCUUUAGUGGGUGCCGAGCUGGGGGUCGGUGGCGGUCGCGUGCGACACGUACCAGCAGUCAGUUCGGUCCUGCUUGAGCUCUCAUCAGCCCGUCCUCGGUGUAAAAGCCGGUCAUCUGUCCGACCCGUCUUGAAACACGG